UCCGGAAGUUGCGCGCCUUGAUAUCCGCUUUCGCCGGUGUGUUCUGUCUCUAUCUCGGCAGCAGCAAGAUGGAGGAAGGUGGUGUGGAGUGUCCUUUCUGUAUCCAUCGGCAUCCUCCAUCGUGAAGCCUCGGACGAAUUCGCCGAUGGCUGGAUGUGACUGCCGCAGCUCCUUCGAGUAAACCUUCACCAAGAUGUAAUUAAACGAGGUUGGAAUCUGAAACUGUGGUGUAAAUGUGAGCCCUUGCCUAAUACCAUCGCAGAUUGGAAUCUGAGAGUGAGAUGUAAAAAUGUUCUGUUGCCUGGCAUUAUCAGUGUUGCAGGUUGGAAUCUCAAUGAAAUGUGAAAGUGAUUUCUUGCCUGGCACCAUUGCAGUGUUGCAGGCUUUCCAGUCUUUGACCAUUAGUGAUACCAGGGCCUGAUAUUCUUAGAAUCCCUACAGUGCAAACAGGCCAUUCUGCCCAACAAGUCCACACCAAUCCUCUGCAGAGUAACCUAACCCCAUAAUCCUACAUUUCCUGUGGAUAACCCACCCAACCUGCACAUUCCUGAACACUAUCUGGUCAAUUUUAGCACAGCCAAUCCACCUAACCUGUACGUAUUUCGACUCUGAGGAAACCGGAGCAUCUGGAGGAAAUCCGUGCAGACAUGGGGAGAAUGUGCAAACUCCACACACAGUCUGGAACACGCCCAAAUAAAUUUGGACCCUUAGAUGAAA
This is a long non-coding RNA of Rhincodon typus (whale shark), 717 nucleotides long. RefSeq lists it as uncharacterized. Lineage: Eukaryota; Metazoa; Chordata; Chondrichthyes; Orectolobiformes; Rhincodontidae. The record is from RefSeq and is a predicted model, not a curated record. The transcript is spliced from 5 exons.